This is a long non-coding RNA of Homalodisca vitripennis (glassy-winged sharpshooter), 1055 nucleotides long. RefSeq lists it as uncharacterized. Lineage: Eukaryota; Metazoa; Arthropoda; Insecta; Hemiptera; Cicadellidae. The record is from RefSeq and is a predicted model, not a curated record. The transcript has 6 exons.
UGCAUAAACUGUCUGUCACACCAAAGGGUUACAGUCUUGUGCCGGCGCUGCCAGCUAUCGAGUCGUGCUUCCUUAGAGAAGGGGACAACAUACGAGACACGCGUGGGGUCAGAGGUCGGGGGCAGUAAUUCUUGACCGGUGGCCUCCGCAGACCUCCCAGCACGCCCCUAGAGAGAGGGUCAGCCUACUGGUCAAACAGGGCGGUAUAUCAUACGCUGACAACACAGCCUUUGUCCUCGACUGAUCAACAUGACAGGGGUGUGAAUCGCUGUUAAUGCAACAUUGUCUAUCUGGUCAAAGGUGGGCCAAUAAAAAUGGAGUGGGAAAUCGUUGAAGCGCUGAACUCCAUAUUACCGUUCGUGAUGACUGAAACUGUGCUGUCUGGCGAACACCACUUUUCCAAGUACAAGAGAAGUCGGUAAUUAGUGACGAGGGAAUAAGUAAGUCAUUACAGGUCUGCGAUGAGGGCACCAACUCCACCGCUGCCACUGCUGCAGGGGUCGACCGGUCACUACCUGCCCGCGCCUGACUGAGCCGGAAGUAACGGUGUUUGCACACAGAGACCGGUGGUCAUCCCCUCACGCCCCGCUCACCUCUAACCCCCGUUUGAUGGACCCCAACUCACCCCACUGAGUUAUGGGGUUGCGACUGGCCUGCGGUCUCUACCACCCGACAUCCCGGCAUCAAAUUGUCGUUUGUCUUCCUCAGAGCUGUCCACUGUCCAUCUGCUGGCACAAGCCAACGUCGUGUAUCGUCCUUCUGCGUAGUGGAACAUAACGAGGAGAGGCGGAGCGGAGACGGGACAUCAUUAAGAAUGUAUCGGCAGUGCUCAGUCGCCUGUGACGUGUUUGAGUUGCCAACUUCCUGCGACGGCGACAGCGACGGCAGGAUAAAUACGGCCUCAGGAUCUCCACUCAACUCUCGCGAGCUUCAAUAGGAAACCGUCAACUACUUCUGUGCAGAUUCUGUCUACCAUCUCAUCUGUGGGUGUGGAUACAAGACGACAAGAUCAUUGCAAAACACUAUGUCAUAGUAAACAUGGUUUAAACAUUAAA